UGGAAGUAAAAAAGUCGUAACAAGGUCUCCGUUGGUGAACCAGCGGAGGGAUCAUUACCGAGUUUACAACUCCCAAACCCAAUGUGAACGUUACCAAACUGUUGCCUCGGCGGGAUCUCUGCCCCGGGUGCGUCGCAGCCCCGGACCAAGGCGCCCGCCGGAGGACCAACCAAAACUCUUAUUGUAUACCCCCUCGCGGGUUUUUUACUAUCUGAGCCAUCUCGGCGCCCCUCGUGGGCGUUUCGAAAAUGAAUCAAAACUUUCAACAACGGAUCUCUUGGUUCUGGCAUCGAUGAAGAACGCAGCGAAAUGCGAUAAGUAAUGUGAAUUGCAGAAUUCAGUGAAUCAUCGAAUCUUUGAACGCACAUUGCGCCCGCCAGUAUUCUGGCGGGCAUGCCUGUCCGAGCGUCAUUUCAACCCUCGAACCCCUCCGGGGGGUCGGCGUUGGGGAUCGGCCCUUUACGGGGCCGGCCCCGAAAUACAGUGGCGGUCUCGCCGCAGCCUCUCCUGCGCAGUAGUUUGCACACUCGCAUCGGGAGCGCGGCGCGUCCACAGCCGUUAAACACCCCAAACUUCUGAAAUGUUGACC
This 589-nucleotide ribosomal RNA is filed under the name Trichoderma virens. Its description in RNAcentral is "eukaryotic LSU rRNA". The stretch from base 258 to 411 matches the Rfam family "5.8S ribosomal RNA". Lineage: Eukaryota; Fungi; Ascomycota; Sordariomycetes; Hypocreales; Hypocreaceae. The record is from RNAcentral.